Molecule: RNA transcript, 2388 nt
Organism: Helianthus annuus (common sunflower)
Lineage: Eukaryota; Viridiplantae; Streptophyta; Magnoliopsida; Asterales; Asteraceae
Gene name: protein root UVB sensitive 4
Exons: 12
Source: RefSeq, a predicted model, not a curated record
AUAAUAAUCUCAGAUUCUCACACAUCUGUCACCACCCAAAACCCAUUCAUGUCCUUAAACCCUAGUAGAACACACACAAACACCGAACCUCCACUUCAAAUCGCCUUUCACCUCUCAUGCAAUCCCCCAUACAUAUCCCCACCUCAAACCCACCAUUCAAUUCAUACACCCAAUGGCAAAAACACAACAAAUUCCACUCCUUUAUCCCAAUUAACCAAAACCCCUCUUUCCAAACACUCUCAAACCCACCAAAAUCACUAAAAACUUCAUUCCAAUUCGACUUCGAAGACGAAAAAUUAAGAAAAGAGCUCAAACCAACAGCACCUACGUUGCUUCCGGUUCUUAUUCGACAGUCUGAUGGCGUUUGUCGAUAUGUUUGGGAUGGUAGUGAUUUGAAAUUGGUUUCUGUUGAUGGGAAGACGGUUUGUUUUGGUGGGUUUGAGGAUUUGGGAGAUGGGUUUCGAAGGUUGUUUAGGAGGUGUAGUUUGGGUGUGAGGAAUUUCUUGUUUCCUAGAGAGAUUAGUGAAAAUUAUUUUGAAUAUGUGAAGUGGAAGUUUUUGCAUAGAGUGUUUAGUUCUGCACUUCAGGUUCUUGCUACACAGGCAAUGUUCAGGGCUAUCGGAAUCGGAUACGCCCGUUCACUUCCUUCUGCAGCGGCCCUGAACUGGGUGUUAAAAGAUGGUCUUGGACGGUUAAGUCGGUGCAUCUAUACAGCUAGCCUAGCUUCGGCUUUUGAUACGAAUCUAAAGAGAGUUAGGUUCUCGACAUCGGUUGUUUUCAGCUUGAGCAUUGGAAUUGAGUUGAUGACUCCUGCUUUUCCGCAAUACUUUUUGCUUCUUGCUUCAAUAGCCAAUGUUGCUAAGCAGAUAAGCCUCGCCUGUUACCUUGCAACUGGUACUGCCGUGCAUCGAAGUUUUGCAGUAGCUGAUAACCUCGGGGAAGUUUCUGCCAAGGCACAGAUUCAAACAGUGUGCUUUGACAACCUUGGUCUUAUGCUAGCCGCAGCCUUAAAUGUCAUGUUAAAAAACAACCAAAGAUUGCAAGCAUUUUUGCCCUUUGUUGUAUACCCAAUUUUCACAGCCAUUGAUCUUUACGGGAUAUAUCAGAGUUUGAAACACGUGCAUCUGCAAACAUUAACUAAGGAUAGGCUAGAGAUGAUCAUAGAUACAUGGAUUCAAUUUCGAUACGUUCCGUCACCAGCGGAAGUAAGUAAACGGGAAGGCAUUAAUUUCAUCCCGAGCAAAGGUAGACUAAAAUGGCCCAUAAGGAUUGGUGGCUUGAACCCCAAAUGCCAGAUACCUAACACAUCAAUGAUGGCGAUGCAAUCUUUAUGUAGAGACGACUUUUACUUUGUAUGCACGGAGGUCUGCUUUCACGGAAUUGAAAGAACCCAAGGUAUUCUUCUUUGUUUACGUGAAGAAGGGGCAAGUACUACAGAUAUCAUCAUGGGUGUCUUACAGGCAUGCUAUAUUCGCGAGCGGCUACUAUGCAAGACCGGUGGUAUUUUAGAAGAUCAGGAGUGGUUGGAACUAGCAAAAGACUGCAAGCGGUGUGCACGAGAAGAUAUGGAGUUGCUGAAUGAAAAGAUGGUUGAAUUAGGUUGGGCUUGUAAAAAUAUAUUGUUGAGCACAGAUGAACAAACAAGGUUUAGUUUUAUAGACGACUAAUGUUAACAAGUCCUUACACCACCGGUAGUAAAAGGUGAAUGUGAAAUGUUUAACAAGUUUGUGUUUUUUUUAUAUAGCAAUGAGCCAAUGAAGGACUGAUAAAUAAUCUGUGUUUUGAUGACGUGGGUACUCAAUCAGCAAAGUCAAAGUCAACGACAAUCGUGAAAAUAAAAUAAAGAGUGCUGAACACAAACCAGAAAAAAGAAGCUGAAAGUCAGAAGUUGGAAGCUCCUGACACACCAACAGCUAGCUGGUGAUAGGAAGCUAAGGUUACUGUACAACCUUGGGACUUGAAUUGAAUAAGUCAAACUGAUUAGACAACUCUCUAUAAAGCAUAAAGGUGUCCUUGAGACACACAAACCUGAAACAUAUCCAAAGAGGCGAGGCGAGGCUAACCCUGCAAGAAACAUCAGGGUGGGUAGGAUAAGCUUGCCAAGACUAGAAGGUGCAAAGCUGGCAUGAGGUCCCCUUGGGCAGAACAAUCAACCUACAAAAGGAGGGUCUUGUUCCAGCCGAAAGUAAAUUCCGAUCAAGCUAGGAGCUAUCUUUUGGAGUUGAUCCUGGACCUAGCUUCUCCCUGUCAUACUCUGCUUUAACAUGUUUCAUUUUAUACACCUAAAUAAAUUAUCUUCUUUUCAUGCUUGACAACAUCCAUAUGGUGGUUUGGUCUUUAAAUUGUAGAAGUUACAUCAUGGAAUAGUAGAAAUCUUUUUAAAACGUA